MicroRNA precursor from Sorghum bicolor (sorghum), 109 nucleotides. It matches the Rfam family "MIR5565 microRNA precursor family". NCBI's taxonomy places the organism in Eukaryota, Viridiplantae, Streptophyta, Magnoliopsida, Poales, Poaceae. The record is from Rfam.
GUUAUCGGAUUCACUUUAAUCCAUGUGUGUUGGUGUGGGUUGGGAUGAAAUUUAGUUCAUGUUCCACUCCAAUCCAUCUCAACACAUGUGGAUUGAUGUGAAUCCGACU